Non-coding RNA from Megalopta genalis, 1054 nucleotides. NCBI's taxonomy places the organism in Eukaryota, Metazoa, Arthropoda, Insecta, Hymenoptera, Halictidae. The record is from RefSeq and is a predicted model, not a curated record.
CUGGUCGAUUAGUAAAUAAAAUUCGGCUUUUCACGCGCCGCGGUUUCGGAGGAAAAUACGAGAGUUCGCUACGCGGGAAAAACAGAUGCGAAGAUCUUGCGAAAGAUUUGUUCCCGCGACCGUUCAAUUGCUCAAUCCGCCGCCGAGAGAUUUAGCAGUCGAUCCGAUUUGCUCGCAUUGUCAUCCGCACUUUAGGUUGACCCUUGGAGAGGUUAGGAACUUUGGGAAAUGAGCGGGAGAUACGAAUCGUUUAAACUUAGGUAUAAUAGCGCGAUUGAUUUAGGAGCUGCAGGUGCGCUUUGAGAAAUAAAACUUGUCCGUGGGAUUUGAUUUAGAACCAUAUGGAAUGUCGAACAACUUUUCCUCUUUGAUUCUGAUGAAAUUUAUUUGUGAAAUUUGUCGAAUUAAUUUAGAGGGUGCUGCAGAGUGAGUGUAUCCAUUUAUAGGAAAAAUGUGUAGGCGGAGUACAGAACGGCGGAAGCAUUAGAAGAGUUCUAGAAUAAAUCAUUAGAAGGUAGUUGCCAUCAGUGUUACUGCAAUUAUAGUCGAAUAAACUGCGAUGAAGAAUAACAAAUGGAUAGUAAUUGAGUUAUAAUUGGUAUGACGCUAUAUGCAGACGCAAUUAUGCCAGGAUUAAGUGAUAAGUCUACUAGCGUCUCUAGCGAGUGAAUCACGUGGGUCGUGAUUAAUAAGAAGACCUGCAAUAUGUCCGAAGAUAAGUCCCGGCCAGGAACGGUUGCCAAAAUGUAUAUCACGGAUAAUGAUAACGGGACUUUUCCCAUUAUCUUUCAUUCAGGAUUUGAUACACCCACUCCGACGCCAAUUGGCCAGGAAAUUCAAUUCCAUUCGUGUCUCCAGUACAAUUGCCAUCGCGACUGUUUUAAAGCGUGCAGAUAUUCAGGAGAAAGUUGUCAAAGAAAAUUUCGGUAACGAUGGCAUCGAAGACCUCGCAAUAACACUAACAAUGGUAGCAAAUAUUUAACUAUACUGUUUACAACUGACCAGUGAUGGUGAGAAGUCUCAAACUACUACUGAACUUUGCAACUACAGCAAA